UGUUAUUGAUCUUUUUGUCACAGCACUGC
This 29-nucleotide non-coding RNA is filed under the name Bombyx mori (domestic silkworm). Lineage: Eukaryota; Metazoa; Arthropoda; Insecta; Lepidoptera; Bombycidae. The record is from RNAcentral.